UGACCACAUGCUGGUUUAUAAACCAACAUCAAGCCAGAGCCACUUCUUCAUGUCCCCCGAUCUUCGCCUCUACUAGCCACCUUUCAUAAAGAGCCUGAAGCUGCAGGUGGACUGGGCCUAGCCCUGCACCCAGAUCAAGUGGAGUGGGGAGCUGCAGGGCAAACAUAGUUUUACUGCCGAAGGGGAUGCCACCCACCCAGCACAGGGCUGCAAUAAGUUGGGUCCCAAAACCAGGAUGUACAUCUUCCCAGAUGUGCUCCUGCAUGAGUGAUGUGACUCAUGGAACCAAAAAGAAACACUUUCUUUUCAGGGCGAGAUUGCAGCACCUGAAAUGGCUGCCAUACUCUCUCACACACAAAAACGGGAAUCCUGGUUUUUUCCGGGAUACUUGUGGGCUAUGGAAUUGUAAUUGUUUCGAUGAAUUCAUUGUUAGAGUUAUUUGUAUGUUAUCUGUGUUUGAUAUUACAGUGUUUACAACGGUUUACCCCCACAGUGCUGUUGGUAUUAUUGUGAGCUGCCUUGAGCUCAACAUUUGUUGUUGGAAAACAGUAAUACAAAUAUUAAAUCACCAGGUGUUGAGGGAAUGAUUGUCGUAGUGUUACUGAUGUACCCCCACCCCCAUGUGGCCACAGGAGUGACAGUAACACAACUCACUGCCAUCUUCGCUUGGCCUCCUGGGAGAUAUUUUAACAUUGGGUUUGUUCCAGCUUUGCUGAGGUUGAUGCCAGCCGUUGUUACAACAAAUUCACCUGCCUACGCAGACUACUGCUAAUUAGCAACGUCAGUCUCACAGAAGCAGCACCUGUGGGAAAGGAUCCUCAGCCAGAAGCUGGGAUGCUGGAAAAGUGAAGGAUGGCUAUAUGAGAAAUGCACACUGGCUGCCUGCAAACGCCUUGGAAGCUUGUCAGAGAUUCCUCAUGAGAAGAUCAACAAUUGCUGCAUUCCCAGAAGACAGAAAUGUUAGACAUAAUCUAAGUGUACUCUUGGAUCAAGCAUGGUGAUGGGAAGACCCAACAGGCCUGCACAAUGCCCUCCUUGGACUGAGUGGGAAACGUCCACCUAUUUCUUGCUUAUUCUGUCUAAUUUCCUAUUCAUGGGGGAAUGUGGCCUCAUUUGCUUGUGGAAGGACAGAUAAUUAGAAUCAUAGCUGGUUUUAUAACCUUUGGCCAUGGAGCUGCUGAGCUUAUUUGUUUUUCAUUCUGUCGUCCAGUCUAGUGAAUAACACCGCCUAUGCACAACUGAUAUGUACAUAUCCCAGUAGGCAACAGAUACUUUUCUAUGAAUUCAGCUUUAAGUUUUGAAAUUUACUUUCAUUCUUUUAGUUCCAGACUGCCUGAAGCCACAUUUCCUUGCAACAUUAAAAAAUAAAGAGCACUUAGGUAACAAUCUCACUUUGAAUCAAGAACUGCAAACACAGAAAGCUUUAUCAUCAACACAACACAUCCAAAAAUGUCUUUGUAAAAUAAAUCAAAUUAUAUGAGUUAAUUGAUUCCAGGGAACAUCAGCAACUGCAGGUGGAAAACGAGUAACAGGAUGUUUAUUAAUGAAGGGCUAUUAAUCAAAAUUGACAAUACCAAUCCUUGUUCCUUUAAAUUUCAGUGCUACCUGCACUGGACAUGGACAUAUUUGUUUCUUUUCUAAAUACGGAUUUGUAAGAAAAAGAAAGAUUAACUCUUGGGAUUUCAGUUGGAGAUAGAAGGCUGUUUGUUUAAAUGCUGAAGGAAUAUCCUAAAUCCAAUUUGACAGGCAAAGGCAAAGAUGCCAGGGGUAAUUAAUUAGCACUUAAUUUAGACUACAGAACAACAGGAUAUGGAAUUGGUGCUCAGUGCCAUUUCCCCCUAGGCUCCAUCUCAUGAGGGUCAAGAGUGUGGCUGUUACAUCGAAGGUCAGUAAAUAAAUUGGGGAAACACAUUGAAACUGGACUUUUCACAAUAGAUAUCCUUCACUGUUUCUACUGCCUCUGGCAAUCAUUGACAAGAAAAGGGCUGUGAUUGGUGAAUAAUGCUGUGCAGACACAUGAUUUGAGCAAGGUAGAGUAUGAACUCACAUGUCACAUUGUGAAUCAUAACCUAGACGCUUCCUACAGAAAGUUAUCCCAGAAAAAGUCAGUAUUAGGGAGGAAAAGCAGCUGGGAAGAUCAGAGAAACCUGUGACAGGAGAACAAUUUCAUUUUUUACUUUCUUAGAUUUGAGGAAAUAAAUUUUGAAAGGAAAGGAGAAAGGUGGAGGUUGGGAGAGGAGGGAAUUCAAUCUGCAUUAUAUCUUGGUUAUGACUUCUCAUUACAAUCCUCAGAAGGUGCACGGAAGGUAUUGAUGAUACAUCUAGAUACAGACUAGUAAACAACAUUAUAUGCAAUAUAUGACAGGAAGCCUAGGAGCUAGUCUGGUCCACAGUUUCAGGAUGACUGAAAUGCUAUUCAGAAGUUUCCUCAAAAGUGAUUCCAAUUAAUUAAUUAAUUAAUUAAUUAAUUAAUGAACCAGAGUUCUAAAUCACAUGUGGAGUAGAGAAGGCCUCCUGUAGAAGCAGUCCAGCCACUGAUUUGUGUGGAAGCUAGCGAUGGAUGGUGAUACAUUAGAAGGGCCAGGGCCAAGGAGCACCUAUCCACCCUCCU
Molecule: non-coding RNA, 2611 nt
Organism: Podarcis muralis (Common wall lizard)
Lineage: Eukaryota; Metazoa; Chordata; Lepidosauria; Squamata; Lacertidae
Source: RefSeq, a predicted model, not a curated record